Molecule: ribosomal RNA, 427 nt
Filed under: uncultured bacterium
Lineage: Bacteria
Description: partial 16S ribosomal RNA
Rfam family: Bacterial small subunit ribosomal RNA
Source: RNAcentral
UGGGGAAUAUUGGACAAUGGGGGCAACCCUGCUCCAGCCAUGCCGCGUGUGUGAAGAAGGCCUUUUGGUUGUAAAGCACUUUAAGCAGUGAAGAAGACUCCAUGGUUAAUACCCAUGGACGAUGACAUUAGCUGCAGAAUAAGCACCGGCUAACUCUGUGCCAGCAGCCGCGGUAAUACAGAGGGUGCAAGCGUUAAUCGGAAUUACUGGGCGUAAAGCGAGCGUAGGUGGCUUGAUAAGUCAGAUGUGAAAGCCCCGGGCUUAACCUGGGAACGGCAUCUGAUACUGUUAGGCUAGAGUAGGUGAGAGGAAGGUAGAAUUCCAGGUGUAGCGGUGAAAUGCGUAGAGAUCUGGAGGAAUACCGAUGGCGAAGGCAGCCUUCUGGCAUCAUACUGACACUGAGGUUCGAAAGCGUGGGUAGCAAACA